RNAcentral lists this RNase P RNA (328 nucleotides) under Nanobdellota archaeon. Its description in RNAcentral is "RNase P RNA component". It matches the Rfam family "Archaeal RNase P". Rfam says of the family: Ribonuclease P (RNase P) is a ubiquitous endoribonuclease, found in archaea, bacteria and eukarya as well as chloroplasts and mitochondria. Lineage: Archaea; Nanobdellati; Nanobdellota. The record is from RNAcentral.
GGGAUUCGGCUCUUAAGUGGGCAGAUGUCGCAAAUAACGAUAUCGAAUUCUGAGUGAAGGUCCGGCCACCAUAUUAAGAUUGUCUCUUGAAAGAGAGAUUCCUGUGAAGGAAAGCUCCAGAAGAGAAACGACACAGCCAACACUGAGUAAUGAAACUUGCGUGGAACUUUGAGGUGUUGGAUUUGAUGAAACGGCUGUCUCAAUCGGUGCAACUCCUUAUGGAGGCAUAGUUGAAUGUUAACACGUUCAGUUUGUCCGGGUCGAAAAGGCCGUGUCCAUUGGACAACGGAAACAAUGAACGACAGAAGCUGGCCUAACUCCGACUUAC